Molecule: ribosomal RNA, 346 nt
Filed under: uncultured bacterium
Lineage: Bacteria
Description: partial 16S ribosomal RNA
Rfam family: Bacterial small subunit ribosomal RNA
Source: RNAcentral
CCUACGGGUGGCAGCAGUGAGGAAUAGUGGUCAAUGGGCGCGAGCCUGAACCAGCCAAGUAGCGUGAAGGAUGACUGCCCUACGGGUUGUAAACUUCUGUUAUAAAGGAAUAAAGUGAGGCACGUGUGCCUUGUUGUAUGUACUUUAUGAAUAAGGAGCGGCUAACUCCGUGCCAGCAGCCGCGGUAAUACGGAGGAUCCGAGCGUUAUCCGGAUUUAGUGGGUUUAACGGGAGCGUAGAUGGGUUGUUAAGUAAGUUGUGAAAGUUUGCGGCUCAACCGUAAAAUUGCAAUUGAUACUGGCAGCCUUGAGUCCAGUUGCGGUAGGCGGACUUCGUGUUGUAGCCG